This 406-nucleotide ribosomal RNA is filed under the name uncultured bacterium. RNAcentral's name for it is "partial 16S ribosomal RNA". It matches the Rfam family "Bacterial small subunit ribosomal RNA", at positions 30 to 526 of the family's 1533-position model. The record is from RNAcentral.
AUUGAACGCUGGCGGCAGGCUUAACACAUGCAAGUCGAACGAGUGGCGGACUGGUGAGUAAUGCUUGGGAAUCUCGCUUAUGGAGGGGGAUAACUACGGGAAACUGUAGCUAAUACCGCGUACCAUAGGAUGAGCCCAAGGGGGAUUAGUUAGUUGGUGAGGUAAAGGCUCCCCAAGCCGACGAUCUCUAGCUGGUCUGAGAGGAUGACCAGACACACUGGGACUGAGACACGGCCCAGACUCCUACGGGAGGCAGCAGUGGGGAAUAUUGCGCAAUGGGGGAAACCCUGACGCAGCCAUGCCGCGUGAAUGAAGAAGGCCUUCGGGUUGUAAAGUACUUUCAGCGGGGAGGCGUUACCCGCAGAAGAAGCACCGGCUAACUACGUGCCAGCAGCCGCGGUAAUAC